RNAcentral lists this ribosomal RNA (258 nucleotides) under Triticum aestivum (bread wheat). Its description in RNAcentral is "partial small subunit ribosomal RNA". The record is from RNAcentral. Lineage: Eukaryota; Viridiplantae; Streptophyta; Magnoliopsida; Poales; Poaceae.
AUGGACGAGGAGUACGAGGCGUUCCGGCAGCAGGUGAUCCAUGGGGUCGAGGAGAAGGGCUACUUCGAGGUCGGCGUGAACUUCCUCGCCGGCGAGGGGAGGACCAAGGGAUACGUCAGUAAACGAUUUGCCGGCAUGGACCCGAGUGAAAUCGCUCGCCGUUUCUCUACCCGUGAGGAAGAGCAAGGUGAUGGUUACAAAUACAAUGCCUACGUUGGUGACGAGGAGGAUGCUCUGGUCAGCGAUGGAGACGAAUAG